GCAUUUCAGGCAGGAAGCAGAGAAGUGGUGGCCAAGUGACCAUUAACUGAUGAUGUUGGAAUCAUCUUUGACAGCUGCUGCUUCUCUAGGGCAGCCAAAGCCAUUUUAGGAUGGUGAGAGACAUGCCGCCAGCACAUUGGAAAUGCGUCUCUGGUGGACAGGAAACAUUAUGAGUCACACUCGAAGUUCUCUGUUGUUCGGAAGGGGUGAAACCACUUUGACUUCAGGAGGACUGAAGGUGUUAGGAGCUGCUUGGCAUUUUGACUGUGUUUUCUGAGACGAAUAUGUAUGUACGACUGCCUGGGGAGAAACCACACACAACAGAGCCUGAAGCGACUAAAGACUAACACCAGGUCAGUCAGGAAGCUCUGGAAGUUUGAUGGAAACUCAUGCAAUAUGAGAAAGACUUGACCAGCUAUGGCUAACUUUGAAAGUGGAAGGCGUCCAGGAGCCAAGGAAUAUGGGCAGCCUUAGAAGCUGAAAAGGGAGCCUAAAGAAGAUGAAAUCAAUUGGCACGGAUUCUGCAACUAAAUGAUGCUUUCGCAGGGGUAAAGCUUUUUGGAACUGCACUGCUUACUAAGAGCGUGAAAUGCCACAGGAGUGGCUGAAACAUUGGUGGAAGUCAGCCAUUCUGCCACGCUUCCUCUAUACUUUGCCACCGUCAGGGGAUCACUGGAGAGGAUGGGGGUCAUUGAGUGCACGUGAGGUCCCAUUUGCUGCCUCUCGCUGGUGAGCAUGCACCAUCUGCCCAGAGGAAGGACAACGCUGUCUAUGGAUUUGCAGUGUGAGUCACUUACACAGGUAGUUUGUGAGAGGCAUAUGACACAGCAAAACUUGCUUUGAGUAAAAUCAAAAACAUCAGAAAAAUGCAACUCUUUAAAUGGUAUAGAGUUUUCAGCCUUUGCCUUGUACUUUUCUAAGCCCUUUUAUGACAGUAUCUCAUACAGUUCUUUAAAAGAAUAGAAAUCAGGGGCACCUGGGUGGCUCAGUUGGUUAAGCAUCUGCCUUGAGCUGAGGUCAUGAUCCCUGGGUCCUGAGAUCAAGUGUCGCAUCAGGCUCCUUGUCAGGCAGGAAGCCUGCUUAUCCCUCUCUCCCUACUCAUGCUCACUCUCUCUCA
Long non-coding RNA from Mustela lutreola (European mink), 1117 nucleotides. RefSeq lists it as uncharacterized. NCBI's taxonomy places the organism in Eukaryota, Metazoa, Chordata, Mammalia, Carnivora, Mustelidae. The record is from RefSeq and is a predicted model, not a curated record. The transcript has 4 exons.